UGAGGAAUAUUGGUCAAUGGGCGAAAGCCUGAACCAGCCAUGCCGCGUGAAGGAAUAAGGCCCUAUGGGUCGUAAACUUCUUUUGUAUCGGAGCAAUAAGGGUCACGAGUGAUCCGAUGAGAUUACGAUACGAAUAAGCAUCGGCUAACUCCGUGCCAGCAGCCGCGGUAAUACGGAGGGUGCAAGCGUUAAUCGGAAUAACUGGGCGUAAAGGGCAUGCAGGCGGUUCAUCAAGUAGGAUGUGAAAUCCCCGGGCUCAACCUGGGAACAGCAUACUAAACUGGUGGACUAGAGUAUUGCAGGGGGAGACGGAAUUCCAGGUGUAGCGGUGGAAUGCGUAGAUAUCUGGAAGAACACCAAAGGCGAAGGCAGUCUCCUGGGCAAAUACUGACGCUCAUAUGCGAAAGCGU
RNAcentral lists this ribosomal RNA (410 nucleotides) under uncultured Succinivibrio sp. RNAcentral describes it as "bacterial SSU rRNA". It matches the Rfam family "Bacterial small subunit ribosomal RNA", at positions 355 to 762 of the family's 1533-position model. Lineage: Bacteria; Pseudomonadati; Pseudomonadota; Gammaproteobacteria; Aeromonadales; Succinivibrionaceae. The record is from RNAcentral.